This 131-nucleotide small nucleolar RNA is filed under the name Dasypus novemcinctus (nine-banded armadillo). RNAcentral's name for it is "Small nucleolar RNA SNORA44 (ENSDNOG00000034528.1)". It matches the Rfam family "Small nucleolar RNA SNORA44". Rfam says of the family: ACA44 is a member of the H/ACA class of snoRNA that guide the sites of modification of uridines to pseudouridines. The record is from RNAcentral. Lineage: Eukaryota; Metazoa; Chordata; Mammalia; Cingulata; Dasypodidae.
CAGCAUGUUCCCAAGUUCUCAGGCUGCUUGUAGCCAAGGAAUCUCCAGCUGCAUGCAAGAGCAACCUGAGGAGACUUUGACAGCCCAGGUCAGCAGAGUACCUGCAGCUGCCAUUCAACUUUCCUGUAAUG